Molecule: ribosomal RNA, 253 nt
Filed under: Clostridioides difficile
Lineage: Bacteria; Bacillati; Bacillota; Clostridia; Peptostreptococcales; Peptostreptococcaceae
Description: partial 16S ribosomal RNA
Rfam family: Bacterial small subunit ribosomal RNA
Source: RNAcentral
UUUUAUUUGAGAGUUUGAUCCUGGCUCAGGAUGAACGCUGGCGGCGUGCCUAACACAUGCAAGUUGAGCGAUUUACUUCGGUAAAGAGCGGCGGACGGGUGAGUAACGCGUGGGUAACCUACCCUGUACACACGGAUAACAUACCGAAAGGUAUGCUAAUACGGGAUAAUAUAUUUGAGAGGCAUCUCUUGAAUAUCAAAGGUGAGCCAGUACAGGAUGGACCCGCGUCUGAUUAGCUAGUUGGUAAGGUAAC